This 511-nucleotide long non-coding RNA is filed under the name Zonotrichia albicollis (white-throated sparrow). Its description in RNAcentral is "lncRNA (ENSZALG00000016148.1)". The record is from RNAcentral. Lineage: Eukaryota; Metazoa; Chordata; Aves; Passeriformes; Passerellidae.
GUCUUACCAAGCUGUUAAUAAUGAAGAAAUGCUCAUUAUUAAUAGCACAAUAUAAAGUAAAUGGCACUGAAUGUUAUGUUGGGGGCAGAGAAUGACACUGACAGCUUUUUCUUUAUUGUCUGCAGAGGAGAAGAAAGUAAAGAGCACUAAAGUGGAAGCAAAAGUCAAAAAGGAAGUGAAGGAUGGAAAAGGAGAAGCAAAGACGGCAGAGAAGGUCAAGCAGGCAGAGACAAAAACAACAGAAACUGGGCUAAUAAAGGCCAAAACGAAAGUUAAGGAGGAGAAAGCUCUUCAGACUGUAACUAAAUCGGACAAGAAAGAUCAAUAUGCAUUCUGUCGCUAUGUGAUUGACAUGUUUGCACAAGGGGAUUUUUAUCCAGGUGCAGCACAUAAGGAAUUUGCACCACCUCGUCUUCUUCUAGAACACAGUCCAAGAAAGAAACCAGCAGCUAUUGAAGGCAAGUUUGAGUUUUCCCACCUUUAUUGGCUUCUACUUAUUAACUUGACUGUU